UAUCCCCUCAUCCCACUCAUUCAGGAGAAAACAGAGGGCAGACUGUGGGGGACGAGGGAGGGACAGAAGUCAAACUGAGAUUUUCUGUCAGCAGCUGUGAAGAGCCUGGAAUUAACUAACUUGGCAGGACUUUAAGUCAAAAAGGCACCAAAUUACAGUAUUUUCUGGCGGCUGACUUCAUCGUCAUCUUCAACAAUCAGAACAUGACCAACCUUCUGCAGAGGUCCUGCCUGAGGCUGCUUGCUGGCUGCCUGUGAGAUUGUCCUGCCCUGAAGCAAUGUGGGCGUUGCUCUACCCAACCCAAAGGCCUAAAAUGUGCUCCUUCUUGGUUUCCCACUCUGCUGUGGGCCUUUGGAUCCAGAAAUGUAUUUUAGAAAAAAAAUAAGGAUUUAACAGUCAUUGUUUUCACCAAUGAUUAUCCUUCUGUCAUGGCCUUUCACUGUCACCUUCUGCUGCUCACCUUUACAUCAUGUUUAUUAUUUAUUGUCAUUUUUGUGUUUUUUGAGCAUUUCAGGGACCUUUUCAUCGGUUUUCUUAGUUUUCAGCCAAGACUAUAAGAAAAACCGGGGUGUGACAAAACACACACACAACCACUUUGGUUUUUAUUUGUAGGGGCGUCCUCCUUUCUUUGGUCACUCACUUUUUAAAUGUUUGUUUAUACCGCCCUCUUCUGGACAUUCAGAAAAUCAAACCUGCCAAAUGACUGAUUUCAUGGACACAGCUCUGAAUCCUUCGCAUAUGUACAGAUAACUUCUCUCUAAGUCUAAUCAAUCUAACGUUAUACGUCACUGUGUGGGAACUGUUCUUUACAUUUGUACAAAAACGGUGUAAUUUUUGCACAAAUGUUUUGCAUUUGAGGAGCAGCUAACCUUUUAAGAGGUUGUCUAACUGAUAUCAAUAAACACAUAAUUAUC
Molecule: long non-coding RNA, 914 nt
Organism: Nothobranchius furzeri (turquoise killifish)
Lineage: Eukaryota; Metazoa; Chordata; Actinopteri; Cyprinodontiformes; Nothobranchiidae
Source: RefSeq, a predicted model, not a curated record